UCAAAUCUUUAGGCUAUUCGAUUGUCCUUGUUUUAGGUUAGUUUUCUUUCUUUCUUUUUUUCCUUCUUAAAUUUUGCUGAAGAUGAGCAUCUGAAGCUCAUCUUUGGGCACUUGAUCUUUUGAUUAGAUUCCAUCCAUUAAGGGUCCUCGAUUCAUGAGAGUCUUCCUUAGAGGGAUCCAAGGUUGAGAAGAUGCAUAAUUUUGCCCCCUUCCGUCUGGCCUCCACCCUCACUCAUGAGGACUUCGAGGCCAUCUACCUCCAAUAUUAGAUUCCUCUAGAAUUCAUAUUGGAGUUCACUGAUCUUGACAACCGAUAGCUAGGCCUUCUUGAGCUUAGGUUGGACUCUACGAAGAGUCAUUGAAAGCCAACCUCAGAUUAUCUAUUCAUUUUUUUAUUGUAGAUCUUCUUAGAGUCUUUCAAAUAGCUCCCUAUAGAAUGGCACCGAACUCAUGGCUCCUUAGAGUGGCCUUUCUUUCUUAUUGUUUCCUUUUUGGUGCUAAACCAACCAACCAUCUCUUUCAGUCAUAUUUCUCAUUUAAAGAGCACCCCAAGGAGGUUAGAUGGAUGUAUGUUUCUCCUCGGAUGGGACAACAUCUCAUCUGAGAUGCUCAUUCCUCUAUUUAUAACUAGAAGGAGCAUUAUUUUUUUGUUUCAACCAAGCAGCCUUGGGGUUUUGAUACUUCAUGAGACAGAUCUUGGAGGUUGUUGAAUAAAGCUUCAAUACUCUCAAACACCGAAGAGGAAGCCUUGAAGUUCAUUUUCAACUGUGCUACUCC
Molecule: long non-coding RNA, 777 nt
Filed under: Elaeis guineensis (African oil palm)
Lineage: Eukaryota; Viridiplantae; Streptophyta; Magnoliopsida; Arecales; Arecaceae
Description: long non-coding RNA (EGUI_LNC081439)
Source: RNAcentral